GAUUGGAGCCUUCCGCUGUUCCCCAGAGAGUUCCCUCGGGACCACGCUCUCUCACCCCGUCACCCCGUCACCCCGUCAGCCUGCUGGGAAGCCAUGAUGAGCUGCAGGAUUUGUGUGUGUUUGCGUGUUGAGGAGACUCGGACGUCUCUCUGGACCUGGAUCCAGAGCAGGUACUCUGUACCUGGCUGGACAUUACCCAGAAGCCUUCUUACAUGGACACGGCAAGACUUGCUUAACUUGUGCAUGUGUGAUGCAGCUUUAUAUAAUUGUAAAAUGUAUUAGUUAAAUGGAAUGAAUGAUCUCAUGAGCUCCGAUGUAUUUUAUAGGUCAACUACUGUACAUGCUGAAAGUGUCCAUUAGAUAUUUGAGUGUGUCUGUUUCUGAUACUUCGUUUGUGAGGGUGCUGGUGCUAAGG
Molecule: long non-coding RNA, 415 nt
Organism: Gadus macrocephalus (Pacific cod)
Lineage: Eukaryota; Metazoa; Chordata; Actinopteri; Gadiformes; Gadidae
Exons: 2
Source: RefSeq, a predicted model, not a curated record